AAAGUCGUAACAAGGUUUCCGUAGGUGAACCUGCGGAAGGAUCAUUAAAUAUGCGAAAGCAUAAGCUCGCGGGAGACCGCUGAGUACCACCCUUUGUGAACCUUUAUUUUUUUGCUUCGGCAGCACGCAUGCCCCUCGCGGGACAGGCGGUCAGGCUGCCGACAGCCCAUACAUAAACUAUUUAAACCUUGCAGUCUGAAUACUGAUAAAUUUAAAAGUUAAAACUUUCAGCAACGGAUCUCUUGGUUCUC
This 251-nucleotide unclassified non-coding RNA is filed under the name Ascomycota sp. RNAcentral describes it as "partial contains small subunit ribosomal RNA, internal transcribed spacer 1, and 5.8S ribosomal RNA". The stretch from base 1 to 47 matches the Rfam family "Eukaryotic small subunit ribosomal RNA", at positions 1785 to 1831 of the family's 1831-position model. Lineage: Eukaryota; Fungi; Ascomycota. The record is from RNAcentral.